AAAUUGAAGAGUUUGAUCAUGGCUCAGAUUGAACGCUGGCGGCAGGCCUAACACAUGCAAGUCGAACGGUAACAGGAAGCAGCUUGCUGCUUCGCUGACGAGUGGCGGACGGGUGAGUAAUGUCUGGGAAACUGCCUGAUGGAGGGGGAUAACUACUGGAAACGGUGGCUAAUACCGCAUAACGUCGCAAGACCAAAGAGGGGGACCUUCGGGCCUCUUGCCAUCAGAUGUGCCCAGAUGGGAUUAGCUUGUUGGUGAGGUAACGGCUCACCAAGGCGACGAUCCCUAGCUGGUCUGAGAGGAUGACCAGCCACACUGGAACUGAGACACGGUCCAGACUCCUACGGGAGGCAGCAGUGGGGAAUAUUGCACAAUGGGCGCAAGCCUGAUGCAGCCAUGCCGCGUGUAUGAAGAAGGCCUUCGGGUUGUAAAGUACUUUCAGCGGGGAGGAAGGUGUUGCGGUUAAUAACCGCAGCAAUUGACGUUACCCGCAGAAGAAGCACCGGCUAACUCCGUGCCAGCAGCCGCGGUAAUACGGAGGGUGCAAGCGUUAAUCGGAAUUACUGGGCGUAAAGCGCACGCAGGCGGUCU
Molecule: ribosomal RNA, 591 nt
Filed under: Salmonella enterica subsp. enterica serovar Infantis
Lineage: Bacteria; Pseudomonadati; Pseudomonadota; Gammaproteobacteria; Enterobacterales; Enterobacteriaceae
Also listed under: 1 other name
Description: bacterial SSU rRNA
Rfam family: Bacterial small subunit ribosomal RNA
Source: RNAcentral